Molecule: long non-coding RNA, 436 nt
Organism: Phyllostomus discolor (pale spear-nosed bat)
Lineage: Eukaryota; Metazoa; Chordata; Mammalia; Chiroptera; Phyllostomidae
Exons: 3
Source: RefSeq, a predicted model, not a curated record
GGAAAGGAGCCCAGCCCAGGAUUGACAGGUGUUUCCACUCCCUCCUCAGGACAGAACACAGACCACUCACCAUGGAGUUUGGGCUCAGCUGGGUUUUCCUUGUUUCUAUUUUAAGAGGUGUCCAGUUUGAGGUACAGCUGGUAGAGUCUGGGGGAGGCCUAGUGAGGCCUGGGGGGGUCUCUGAGACUCUACUGCAUGGCUUGUGGAUUCGCCUUCAGUAACUAUGCAAUGUACUGGGUCAGACAGGCUCCAGGGAAGGGGUGGAAUGAGACUCAGGCAUUAGAAGUGGCGGUAGCACAUACUACCCCAACUCUGUGAAGGGCUGAUUCACCAUCUCCAGAGACAAUGGCAAGAAUGAGCUGUAUCUGCAAAUGAACAACCUGAAAACUGAAGACACAACUGUGUAUUACUGUGCAAGUGACACAGUCGAAAAUGG